Molecule: transfer RNA, 65 nt
Filed under: Lyonetia clerkella
Lineage: Eukaryota; Metazoa; Arthropoda; Insecta; Lepidoptera; Lyonetiidae
Description: tRNA-Ile
Source: RNAcentral
AAUAAAGUGCCUGAUAAAAAGGAUUAUUCUGAUAGGAUAAAUAAUGUAGACUUCUACCUUUAUUA